CCUACGGGUGGCAGCAGUGGGGAAUAUUGGGCAAUGGGCGCAAGCCUGACCCAGCAACGCCGCGUGAAGGAAGAAGGCUUUCGGCUUGUAAACUUCUUUUCUCAGGGACGAAGCAAGUGACGGUACCUGAGGAAUCAGCCACGGCUAACUACGCGCCAGCAGCCGCGGUAAUACGUAGGUGGCAAGCGUAAGCCGGAUUUACUGGGUGUAAAGGGAGUGUAGGCGGGACUGCAAGUCAGAUGUGAAAACCACGGGCUCAACCUGUGGACUGCAUUUGAUACUGUAGUUCUUGAGUACUGGAGGGGCAGACGGAAUUCCUAGUGUAGCGGUGAAAUGCGUAGAUAUUAGGAGGAACACCAGUGGCGAAGGCGGUCUGCUGGACAGCGACUGACGCUGAGGCGCGAAAGCGUGGGGAGCAAACAGGAUUAGAUACCCGAGUAGUC
This 443-nucleotide ribosomal RNA is filed under the name uncultured bacterium. Its description in RNAcentral is "partial 16S ribosomal RNA". It matches the Rfam family "Bacterial small subunit ribosomal RNA", at positions 338 to 795 of the family's 1533-position model. The record is from RNAcentral.